UUGUGCUUUUCAAACACUGUUAGAAUAUCUUCUUUUUCUAUGAGUGCUUGCUAAGUGGUGGGAAAAAAAUUUGCAUGACCACCAUUUAACAAUGUUGCAUUGCUUUGCCCAAAUUGGUACAGUGGAUGCGAAAAUUAGCCUGAAUCUUCUUACUUUGUGCGUUUCACAUGCUUCUGGAAUAUCUUCUUAUUCUACUACUUCUUGCUGAAGUGGGAAAAAAAUGCACGAGCAUCACUCAACAAUGUUGCAUGGCUUGUUGCCCAAAAGGCCAUGUUAAAUUAGACUGGUAUUUAGCCAUCUGAUCUUUCGUACGCAAUGAACAUCAGCAUGAUGAGAUCAAAGAUGUUGAGAAAUCGGCGCUCAAACCAUAACACUGACUCCCUAGAAGUGGCACCAAAGUGGUGUGACACCACUUCUUCUGUGGACCUUAUACCCACACUACUCUGAGGAGACCUUCACACCGACACUAACACAGGAGACCAACUCUCUACAAGGAACUCAAAUCUUUUAUUCACCUGCUCACAACUUGAUACAACACUCACUCUUACACUCUUUAUGUGGCUACCGUACCAUGACACCACUAUACUACAUGGCAACUUUGCUAUCUCGCUCACAUGCCACUCUAUGUCAUGGUAUGGCUAGGAGAGAGGGGAGCACCUCUAUUUAUAGAUGCUCAUGAUCAUUAUGGUGUUGUCAUGUGGCAACUUCCACACUCUUCCGU
This 721-nucleotide long non-coding RNA is filed under the name Setaria viridis. RNAcentral describes it as "long non-coding RNA (SVIR_LNC003932)". The record is from RNAcentral. Lineage: Eukaryota; Viridiplantae; Streptophyta; Magnoliopsida; Poales; Poaceae.